UACGUAGGGUGCAAGCGUUGUCCGGAAUUAUUGGGCGUAAAGAGCUCGUAGGCGGUUUGUUGCGUCGGCUGUGAAAACCUGAGGCUCAACCUCAGGCCUGCAGUCGAUACGAGCAGACUAGAGUGUUGCAGGGGAGACUGGAAUUCCUGGUGUAGCGGUAAUAUGCGUAGAUAUCGGGAGGAACACCAGUGGCGAAGGCGGCUCUCUGGGGUAUUUCUGACGCUGAGGCACGAAAGCCAGGGGAGCGAACGGG
This 253-nucleotide ribosomal RNA is filed under the name uncultured bacterium. RNAcentral describes it as "partial 16S ribosomal RNA". It matches the Rfam family "Bacterial small subunit ribosomal RNA", at positions 524 to 776 of the family's 1533-position model. The record is from RNAcentral.